RNAcentral lists this long non-coding RNA (502 nucleotides) under Vigna radiata. RNAcentral describes it as "long non-coding RNA (VRAD_LNC016397)". The record is from RNAcentral. Lineage: Eukaryota; Viridiplantae; Streptophyta; Magnoliopsida; Fabales; Fabaceae.
AGGAACUUCUCGAAAUGUAUUCGAGGAUCACAAAACUAGCAAGAAACUCUAUAAAGAGUAUAAAUUAACCUAGAAUGAUUUUAGAAAAGGAAAAGAAGAAAAGAGAAAGAGAGAAGGUUGAUUUUGGUUGUGUUUUGGAAUGGAGAAAGAGUUCUCUAUUUAUAGAUCUAGGGAAGAAUAAAAUCAAUAAAAGACAAUAAAAAACAAUAAAUAAUUUGGCCGUUGCAGCACUUAAAAAUUUGACUGUUGGAAUAUUACCGUUGAGCAACGUUUCUUUUGCAAUAAUCUAACAUUAUUACAACAAUCCCCUACUUAUUGGAAAAGAAAAUUGAGAAAAAAAAACUUUUAUCCUGGGUGUCAUAGGAUGUAAUGCAUUAGAGCUGGUAUAGCAAGCUAUAUGAACCAGUCUUAGAUUGAGAAACUUAACACACAGUGUAGUUGGUAUAGCAAACUAUAUGAACCAAAGACACUUGACGUGUGUUAGAGGUUUAUCAAUCACAAU